GCUAGAAGUAAAGCGACCAGUUAGAAGUUUUAAUACAGUUAAAAGACAACAAAACUCUCAAAUAGAAAGGUAGCUCAAAUAGAGCAGCCAUCUAAAGAAGUCUAAACAGUAUCUAUUGUGCAAUAAAUUUCCUAAGUUUCUGGAUGAAAUCCUUGUCCAUCUUUCCUAAAGUCCAUUCAAGUCCAUGUAAGACAGCCACAUCCUCACCUCCUAGUUUGCAUCACCUUUUUACAUCUUUGUAAAAUUGACAGUCAAAUGUAUCAUAGAAUGAUUUUAAAAGGAUGUUUAAGUGAGUUUGAGAUAUUUCAUGUUUACUUGCUAUUAUUUUGCUAUUAUUUUCUUCUUUGAAUUAUCACUACAUUUUUGUCAUUUUAGAAACAACUGGUUCAGGUCUUUUACACUGAGCUGCAGAAGAUGUUUAUGUUAAACAUUACAAAAACCAAGGGAAUAAAUAACCAAUAUAUUAUGCCAAUGUAAAUAAUAUGACACAUUUUCACAUAUUUUUAUGCGGUCAAGUACUACACUACCCACUAACAAAUCAACUGUCAUAUAAUCUUCAACAACGAUGUCCUCUUGAUUUUUAAGAGAUUUGUACAAGGGAUAAGUUCAAAUGAACAUGUGGGUUUUCUUUUCUUUUAUAACAUGGAAGAUUUCUUCUCCAGUGAGCUAGUCUGAAACAGGUGGAGGCAUGCAAUAAAAAGAGUAGACAACCUUAAGAAACACCCUUUUCUCUUUCCACCAAAGCCUCAAAUCAAAAUUUGUCAUUCCAUUUAAGUAUUUCUCUAAUUGAUGGAAGAGGCAAAUUGGGUGUAAGAUACUAUCACCCAAUUCCAUUCCCAGAAACACGGCACAAUAAAAUGCACUCAUUUCUUGACUCAAACCCUUACAAAGAAUGAGAAAAUCAAGGGUUAAACUGGAAGCCAAAUUUUUCCUAUAACGCAAAUUUCUUGUACUUUUUGUUCAUUCAUGCAUUGAUUCUACCAAUAACUAUAAUAAUACACCAAUAUAACGAAAUUAUUAACUAUCCAUCAAACACCUACUAGAUGCUAAUUAUUAUGCUGGGCCUUAGAGAACAGUAAUAAAUGCUACCAAAGCCUCUAGUGAACCAUUAAUGUUUUGUUCCUCUCAUAAAGAAAGAAUACCAGAAAAGUCGGUCUAUGUCUUCUUGUAAGCAUUUUUCCAAAUCUUGCCAUAUUACAACCUUACACAAACAAAAUUAUUAUUCACUAAGUCGAGGCUUUCAUGAAAGUUUCUUCCUUGUGACUUCAGCAAUUUUUGAGGGAUGGGAUAUUUCUGUUGCUAUUUUGACAUCACGUGGGAUCGUAAUUCACUCAGCCAAGAAAACAACCAAUCUAUCUAAAUUCAAAGCCACAGUCUCCAGCCAAGACUAGAGAGGGCUACACAUUAUGCAAAGGAUAAUGAGAAAAAUACCAUGCCCCAAAUUUUCCAUGCUACAAAAAUAAUAAAAUCAGUAUCACUGCAAUAAUUUACUCUCACAGAAAUCUUAAGUUAUAAUUUUUUUAAAAUCCUGUGUAAUUUCUUAUUCUUUUCAGUCCAAGCCACAGAAAAGAAGUCUCCUUGUUUAAAGCCUAGGUUCCUUCUUCAGUUGCAAUAGGAUGGGGAGUGACUCUGACUUCCUCUAUAUCUAUGUAUCUACAUUCUUCAGCACUUUCAAACCUGGAGGAAUCCCAAAUAAAGUGGCUAAUUUUCAAAAUUUAUAAGUGGACAGUCCAUUAUAACACUAUUCCCAUAGAGAAGCAUCAUUAGAAUAUCAGAUUUCAAUAACUAAAUAUAGCCACUGGAGUAUCUGCAGCCAAACAAUAACAUAUGUUGACAUUUCCUAAGAAAACAGUAUUUCUCAAACUCAACACCCAGAAAUCCAUUGGUAUUGCCAGUUUAUGGCCCACUUAAAAUGAUUUAGAAGUGGAUGCUUAAAAUAAAACAAAACAUAUGCCUAUAUGCCAAGUAAUUCAAAUUAUGCAUAGUUCUAUGACUAACAUAGAAGAAAAACUGGAUAAACCUUACCCCAAAAGUGCAUUAGGCAGAAAUUACUAUGUCUAAGAAAUCAACACACUAUUCACUAAGAUCGUAUCUACUCUUUUUUUUUUAAAGAUUGGCAUCUGCACUAACAUCUGUUGCCAAUCUUUUUUUUUUUCUUCUCCUCCUCCCCAAAGCCUCCCAGUACAUAGUUGUAUAUUCUAGUUGUGAGUGUCUCUGGUUUUGCUAUAUGGGACGCUGCCUCAACAUGGCUUGAUGAGCCAUGCCACGUCCGCGCCCAGGAUCCAAACCAGUGAAACCCUGGCCCACCGAAGCAGAGCAGGAGAACUUAACCACUCGGCCAUGGGGCCAGCCACUACUCUUAAAAAUGUCCAAUCCCAUGGCAGAGUGGAUAGCUUUGUGCACUCUGCUUCAGCAGCCCAGGGUUUUGCCAGUUUAGAUCCUGGGUGCAGACAUGGCACCACUCAUCAAGCCAUGAUGAGGUGGCACCCCACAUACCAUAACCAGAGGCACUCACAAUUAGAAUAUACAACUAUGUAUUGGGGGGCUUUGGGGAGGAGGAGAAGAAGGAAAAAAGAAGAAUGGCAACAGAUGUUAGCUCAGGUGACAAUCUUUUAAAAAGAAAGCUUUAAAAAUAUCUACUGAUUUUUGGAAGUUUGUGUUUAUUGGUCAUUUUUAUUCAACAUAAACUUAAUGGAAAUGUAUAGUUGAUUAUUAAGAAAAUUAGCAAAAAUAGGUUUCCUCAAAUGAGGUACAUAAUUUAAAGUACAUUGGCAUUUUGUUGUAAGAUACAUAGAUUCAUAUUCUCAAAUAAAUUGUAGGAUUGUUUCCCCUAUCACACAUUUGACCCCAAUGACUCUUAUUAGUCACUUCUAUUUUUUUAUUAUCUUGCAAGAAAAAAAUACAGUAUUUUGCACUGAAAUUGAUUAUAAGACAACUACUUUUCCUUUAAAAUUCCCUGCUCAUUUUCAUACUUAUAACUAUUCUAUAACAUAUUUACUUAUGUUAUCCAUAUAAAUUAGCAAUCAUAAUAGCACUUUCAGAAAAUACAUAUUUAAUUCUGAAUAAAAUUCAGUUGUUCUCCAUAUGUGGUACCUAAACCAGCAGCAUCUGUCAGACCUAGACCUACUGAAUCAGAAACUCUGACCCAAACUGUACAAGCCCUUGAAAUGACUCCCAUACGUACAAAAGUUUGAUUUAAUCGAAGCUGCCUAGAAAUGUACAACUCUUUAUCCAUUUAACUAACCACUGCAGGAACAGACAUUUGAGCAAAUCUUGCUCAUCACAAUCAUCUCAACAGAAGACACAAUAUUGCCAACAGUCAACAAGAAAGGACACAGAACCUACCAUGACAAAGCAGCCUGAGACCCACACACUGAAGUUGAACAGAAUAUAGCAGGUAAAUGGUAAUUCUGACUCCUAAGUUACCCCAACUGUUCCAGUAGUCAAACAGGGGAGCUUUCCUACUGCCAACAAUGGAAACAAUCAAAACAAUCCAGAUACUGCUCUAAAUCUACAUGUCUCCCUUCUCACUUGAACAAGACAAGGACAUGCUACAAUAACUUUAAACCUUGUUUUUUUCCUUUUUCUCUUCCUUUCAUCUACCACUGCAUUCUGUGUCUACUGCUAACUCAUUCCUUCCAUUACUCUCUCACCAAAUUGCACCCAUCAUAAAUUAGAUUGGCUGGACCUCAGAUUUCCCUUUGCAAGAAUGAAAGCUGUCAUUAGGCUCAAGAAACAAUGAGUCUGAUCAUAAAGCCAAUCCUCCCUUCCUCCAAAAGAAAAACCCAAAAAUUGAUCCUCUUCCAGGGAUUCAUAUUUAAAAGGAAUUUUCUUUAUUUCACUUCUAAAGAAGCAUCAUCCCAAGAAUGGGGUUAUUUGGAUGGGGCUAAACCAGCAACUACCACUGUAUCCAUUCUCCCAGAAUAACUGACCACUCUGAAUUGCACCAAAAAUCCGAAGUCAAAUAACCCUAUGACAAACACUACACCUCAACAGACCCCAAAAUCAUUUCUUUCCUUUCUCACCCAACUGUAUGCUUCUAAUCUGAUUCAGUUAGUAGCAAGGUAGCUCACUUCUCUCAAUUCAUCUGGCAUAUCCCUACCAGCCAGGAUUAGGAUCAGGAACACUAAGAGAAAUGAAACAAAUCUGAGAGGUUAUAAAUAUACUAAAUUUUCUGGCAGGAAAACAGGGACUUGAUAAGGAAAAUAAUUGUGAAAAAACGUGUCUACCUCGCUUUGAAAAGAAUGUAUUCUGGGCCGGUCCUGUGGCAGAAUAAUUGAAAGUUCCACACCCUCUGCUUUGGCAGCCCAGGUUCACGGGUUCAGAUCCUGGUGUAGACCUACUCCACUCAUAAGGCCAUGCUGUGGAGGCAUCCCACACACAAAAUAGAGGAAGACUGGCACAGAUGUUAGCUCAAGGGUAAUCCUCCCCAAGCUAAAAGGGAGGAACACUGACAAUGGAUGCUAGCUCUGGGUGAAAUCUACCUCACCAAAACAAAUUUAAAAAAGAAUGCAUUCUUCUGAACCCCAACACUUUUUCCCUAUAAACUACUCACUUGUUAUAGUAUCAACACCCACAUCAUUUAUUCAUAUAUACACACACACCUCUUAAAUUUAAGAUGACUGUUUAAAGAUAAGAUCUUGAUAUAUUCAACUGUCCACAGUACCUUUUUUUAUAUAGGUUUUCCUAAAGUAUCUGUUUCCUUACUACUUAACCACCUAACAGCUAGUAUAAGCAAAGCACAAGCACCUAAUCAUAGAAUGCCGGUCACAGAUAACAAAAGAUCCAUUACCUAUACAAGUGAAGAUAAAUAUUAAACACUGUGUUAUUGAAAACCUGAUUCAAAGAAAUGCAUACUAUUUAUCAAACAGUUCCUCUCUCCAGGAUUCAGCACUGACAAGUACAAAAAGCUGAUUUCAUUCCCUUGACUCACAAAGAGUCAAAACUUCUAAAGCUCCAUCUGUGUCUGGCCAAGAUAAUUAAAGUGGUGAUUUAUUAAGGAUUAGAGUAAUCUCUCUGAAUGUAACUUAAUCAUUCGUCUAAAAAUAUAAGUCUCAUCUUAGACCAAAGCUGGGUCUCAACAACUAGCACUUUUUCAUUCAUGUGGUAACUGGAGCUGGUUCAGAAAGGUUGGGAACAUGCAAUCAGUAAACUUUAGCACAAACACCAACAGCAUCCGUGUGAAGGUACUUACCAGAUUCAUUGUAUUUCAUCAUAAUAUUAGUUUCUCUCCUUCCUGGACAUCAGUUAAACACCUAGCACUGUGGCAUUCAAGGUCUGAUCCAAGAGGUGCUAAAUUUCCUUUUUGCGUGUCCUUGCUUCCAUCUCACCACACGCGUGCCUUCUCAGAUCCAAGGAUGUGCUUUCUUUUUUGCUUUCAUCAGCAUGCACAUAUCUGGAGUGGUUUAAGUUUCUCUUCUAAAUGCAGCUAAUCCAAUUUUCAGCCUUGUUGCAACACUACUUGGUCGGAUCCACAAUGACAGGUCAGAAAAUUCAGUGAUCAAAUUCUCUCUUCCUUUCAGUCAUCAACUAAGCGGGCAAAAAGGCAUUGCUUAAGACUGAAAAAGCUGCAAC
This 5574-nucleotide long non-coding RNA is filed under the name Equus caballus (horse). RNAcentral describes it as "lncRNA (ENSECAG00000053278.1)". The record is from RNAcentral. Lineage: Eukaryota; Metazoa; Chordata; Mammalia; Perissodactyla; Equidae.